UACGGAGGGUGCAAGCGUUCUCCGGCAUCACUGGGUUUAAAGGGUGCGUCGGCGGCUUGAUAAGUCAGGGGUGAAAGCCCGCAGCUUAACUGCGGAACUGCCUUUGAUACUGUCGAGCUUUAAAGAGGUUGAGGUCAGCGGAACGUGACAUGUAGCGGUGAAAUGCAUAGAUAUGUCACAGAACACCGAUUGCGAAGGCAGCUGGCUGGACCUACUUUGACGCUGAGGCACGAAAGCGUGGGGAGCGAACAGG
Molecule: ribosomal RNA, 253 nt
Filed under: uncultured bacterium
Lineage: Bacteria
Description: partial 16S ribosomal RNA
Rfam family: Bacterial small subunit ribosomal RNA
Source: RNAcentral